This 4522-nucleotide long non-coding RNA is filed under the name Prunus persica (peach). Its description in RNAcentral is "long non-coding RNA (PPER_LNC006637)". The record is from RNAcentral. Lineage: Eukaryota; Viridiplantae; Streptophyta; Magnoliopsida; Rosales; Rosaceae.
UCGAAGUUAUGAAGCCCCAAGGGUAACUCAUACCCCAAGUUAGCUGCUCUGUUUUGUUUUUAUGGGUAUAGUCCAUGACUAGCCAUGUUUUUCAAGCUUGUUAUAGUCAUACUAGUAAGCCUAGCAGCAGCUGAAGAUCUCAAUUUCACCUACAAUGGUUUCCUGUCUGCUAAUCUUAGCCUAGAUGGCGUAGCCCACAUCACAUCCAAUGGCCUUCUGAAGCUUACAAAUGACACUGGACUCGGCCAUGCCUUCUACCCCAACCCAGUAACCUUCAAGAACUCAUCCAAUGCUACCGCUUUCUCCUUCUCUACCACUUUUGUGUUCGCUAUCAGAUCCAGAUUGGGACCGCGUUUGGGUGGCCAUGGAAUUGCCUUUGUCAUUGCUCCGACAAGAGGGCUCCCGGGAGGUUUUAAAAACCAGUACCUGGGCGUUUUCAAUGAAACCAACAACGGCAACGCCAACAACCAUAUUUUUGCUGUAGAGCUUGACUCCUUUCAGGACCCCGAGCUUGGCGACAUCAACAACAACCAUGUUGGGAUUGAUAUCAAUGGUUUGCGCUCAGUGAAAUCAACUCCAGCGGGAUAUCAUGCUCUAAACAAUGGCGGUUUCCGAAACUUGACCCUCAUCAGUGGUCAACCAAUGCAAGUUUGGGUGGAUUAUGAUGGUAUCCAGAAGCAAAUCAAUGUCACUUUGGGUCCAAUCAAUGUUGAUAAACCCCAUAUUCCACUCUUGUCUUUGAAGAAUGACCUUUCCACGGUCCUUAACACGACCAUGUAUGUUGGCUUCUCCUCUACCCCUGGCUCAGUCAUCACAUCUCAUUAUGUUCUAGGAUGGAGCUUUGAGAUGAAUGGCCAGGCUCCAGAACUUGUUCUCUCACAACUUCCUAAGCUGCCCCGAAUAGGACGUAAAAAAAUAUCUAAUAUUUUGACCGUUGGUGUGCCUGUGAUGUCUGUGAGUUUGGUUUUGCUAGCAAUUUCAAGUUUAAUUUAUGCCAUAAGAAGGAAGAAGAAGUUUGCAGAGCUGCUUGAAGAUUGGGAGCUUGAGUAUGGGCCUCAAAGGUUUAAAUACAAAGAGUUAUAUAUGGCAACAAAAGGGUUUAGGGAGAAGGAGCUUUUGGGAACUGGGGGAUUUGGUAAGGUCUAUAAAGGCAUAUUACCUUCCUCCAAAACUGAGAUUGCAGUGAAGAGGGUCUCACAUGAAUCAAGACAGGGGAUGAGGGAGUUUGUUGCAGAAGUUAUUAGCAUUGGCAGACUUCGUCACCGAAAUUUAGUACCACUGUUGGGAUAUUGCAGAAGAAAAGGGGAGCUGCUCUUGGUCUAUGACUACAUGCCUAAUGGAAGCCUGGACAAAUACCUAUACGACCAACCAGUGGUCACUCUCAAUUGGAGGCAGAGGUUCAGAGUGAUCAAAGGUGUGGCUUCAGGGUUGUUCUAUCUUCAUGAAGAAUGGGAACAAGUUGUGGUUCACAGAGAUGUGAAGGCCAGUAACAUAUUACUAGAUUCAAAAUUUAAUGCAAGACUAGGAGAUUUUGGCCUUGCAAGAUUAUAUGACCACGGAAAGGACCCUAAGACUACUCGUAUAGUUGGAACACUUGGGUAUCUAGCUCCGGAGAAUGCAAGAUUAGGCAGGGCCACAACGCACGCCGAUGUGUUUUCUUUUGGGGCAUUUUUGCUUGAAGUUGCCUGUGGAAGAAGGCCAAUACAGACACAAGGUGUUCUGGUUGAUUUGGUGUUUUUUUGUUGGAAGAGAAGUAAUAUUCUUGAGGUAAUAGAUAUAAAUUUGGGUUCAGAAUUCGUAGCUGAGGAGGUGGAAUUGGUGCUGAAGCUUGGGCUGUUGUGCUCUCAUUCAGAGCCUUCUGCUAGGCCAAGCAUGCGUCAAGUAGUGCAUUAUUUAGAGGGUGACAUUCCACUGCCGGAGUUAUCAUCUCUUGGUCUUUCUUCUGGUGGCUUGAAGUUCGCACACCACGAAAAUUUUGAUGAUUCGGCAAUGUCAUAUCCGUCUUCUAUGGGCAAGGAGAUGUCAUAUGUGCCAGAGUCAUCACUUCUCUCAGGGGGUCGCUGAGGCCAAUCAAUUGUAACUCGAGGCAUAUAACAUAUAUACAUGCAGCUUUGAAUGUUUCCUUUAGUUUAUGAGUUUGUAACUCGUUGCUUGUUACAUUAAAUCAAUGCUGCAUAAAAAAUAGAUGUUUUGUAUUAUACUAUUUUUUAUAUCUUUUUGUUGUUGUUGAUAAUAUACUAUUUUUUAUAUAAGAAAACAGACAUGGAAAUUUUAAUCUUAAUAAAUAGUAAAAAAUUAGAACGGGAAAAGGGAGCAAUUUUAAGAGGCGGCAGUCGGUUGGGUCCGGAAUGCGGGCCGAAUCUUGGACUAGUAAUUACUGGAUGAGUGUGGCGGAGAUCUCCGCAGACCUCCUCAAGUUCUCAACUUUCAGAUCCUUCACCGUCGUCCGAUGUCAAAACAGAUCUCUGGCCAUUUUCUAGAGAAUGGGUUUUGGCAGAAACCUCCAUUUCUAUUUGGUACAUCACGUUGUUGUAGGAGCAGGAUUGAAUUCUUGAACCUUCUAGACGCUAGCUUUUCUAUGUUUUUGCCUCCAACUAUUUUGGCUCCUUCUCCUUAAACCAAGUACAUUUGCAUCACUGUGAAGGUUUAAAAUUUAGUCGUGGAAACGACAGACCUCUCCCACAGCUAAGUACAAUUUGAAGCAUUGGACUGGCCACAGGUUUCUCUCUGUUGUGCGUGUGUAAUUGUCAAGUUUUCUUUAAUGUCUUUGUGAAAUUUGAAUUUACAUUAUAUAUAUCGACUUACUGGUGUGCCAAUAUUGUAGCACUAGUUGAUGAUUGUGGCAAUCUGCAUGGAAAUUGCAAACUUGUGUGCUUUUGUUUCGGUAUAUGAUCAUUUUCUAAAAAUAAAUUUGGCAUUUUGCUGCAGGAAGAAUUUGAUAUCGGGACACUUGUUUACUCCUUUUUGGUAACAGUGAGUGAUUAAAAUAUGGGGUCGGAGAGGCUUGUACCUUCGUAUCUAUAGAAUUGAUCAUAACACUAGUGGGAGACGAGUGUGAGUGAUUGUAAAAGUUGGGUCUUGGCUGAGAAUCGGGGCGAAUCAGACUGAAUCGGAUGAACGAUAUCAAUUCUGUUUUAGUUUUGGUUGAUAAUUAGGCCAAACUGGACUUUGCCAAGACCUAGUAUUACCCUUGUGAAAAAUGUGGUAAGCCUAGUAUUACCCUUGUGAAAUAUGAAUUGUCAAGUUUUCUUAACGUAUAAUAUGUGAGAAUAUGAGAAUGAGAGAAAAAAUUUCUGGUUUUCAACUUAUACAAGUAUAUGGCUUGCUAACCAAGCUAAUCAUAUUUGGUUUCCAAGGCCUGGAACUUGCAAGCUGCAGUCUUCACAAGUCAAGUGAAUAUUUCCUGGUUUCACACCUCCAACAUUUAUUGCUUUCACACACAAGCUAACAGUUAGUGUCCAUAAUUUCUACAUAAAAGCUAAUUAGUGACAAUGACGGUCAAGUUGUUUGACAAUGUCCCGCUACAUUGACUUAGAUUUUUCUUAAUGGGUGCAGUUGUUGACUUGAUAUGUAUCCAAAGACUCGCAAUGAAGGAUAUGUUCAGAAAGGCAUCGGCUGAGAAUCAAGAAUAGCCAUGUUUUUCAGGCUUGUAAUACUCAUACUGGUAAGCUUAGCAGCAGCAGAAGAUCUCAGUUGUGGUCCCGCAUCUUCGAGGUUAUCUUGUUGAAGGUCAAUAAUGUAUCUCUAGAAGGGAAAUUGAAUGCAGAUUUUGAACUAGUUGAAUAAGAAUUUUCCACUUGUAUGAUUCUGAUUUACUCAAUAUAUUUUUUCUUGUUAAUUUGUGACAAUGUCUGCUGUAGGAGUAAAUAAUCCAGUUUUCAAUCACAAGAUGCCACUUGGACAAGAAGAAUAUCUCAUAGGUCAAUUAAUUGAGCCCAUUUAUUUGGCAAAUUAAUUGAUACUAUUAGGGAGUUAUAGUAAUUUUUUCUUUUUUUCCUUGGAGCCCACUACAUUAACUUAGAUUUUUCCUUGACCAAAAAAAAAAAAAAAAAGACUUAGAUUUUUCUUUGGUAGUGUAGCUGUGGGUAUAGUCCAUGACUUAUCUGCGAUAAGACUUAAACUAAAUUAUGUAUUGAAACUUCAUAGUCUUUGGUAGAGAAUUGAAAUUAAUAGCCAUGUUUUUCAAGCUUGUUUUAGUCAUACUAGUAAGCCUAGCAGCAGCUGAAGAUCUCAAUUUCACCUACAAUGGUUUCCUGUCUGCUAAUCUUAGCCUAGAUGGCGUAGCCCAAGUCACAUCCAAUGGCCUUCUGAAGCUUACAAAUGACUCUGGAAAUGACAAUGUACUCGGCCAUGCCUUCUACCCCAACCCAGUAACCUUCAAGAACUCAUCCAAUGCUACCGCUUUCUCCUUCUCUACCACUUUUGUGUUCGCUAUCAGAUCCGGAUUCGGACUGCGUUUGGGUGGCCAAGGAAUUGCCUUUGUCAUUGCUCCGACAAGAGGUCUCCCCGGAGGUUCUCUAAU